UGCCAGCCGCCGCGGUAAUACGGGGGGCGCAAGCGUUAUUCGGAAUUAUUGGGCGUAAAGCGCGUGUAGGCGGUUCGUUAAGUCUGAUGUGAAAGCCCGGGGCUCAACCCCGGAAGUGCAUUGGAAACUGGCGAACUUGAGUACGGGAGAGGAAAGUGGAAUUCCGAGUGUAGGGGUGAAAUCCGUAGAUAUUCGGAGGAACACCAGUGGCGAAGGCGGCUAACUGGCUCGGUACUGACGCUGAGAUGCGAAAGCGUGGGGAGCAAACAGGAUUAGAUA
RNAcentral lists this ribosomal RNA (279 nucleotides) under uncultured bacterium. RNAcentral describes it as "partial 16S ribosomal RNA". It matches the Rfam family "Bacterial small subunit ribosomal RNA", at positions 506 to 784 of the family's 1533-position model. The record is from RNAcentral.